GACGAACGCUGGCGGCGUGCCUAAUACAUGCAAGUCGAGCGGACCGGAUUGGGGCUUGCCUUGAUUCGGUCAGCGGCGGACGGGUGAGUAACACGUGGGCAACCUGCCCGCAAGACCGGGAUAACUCCGGGAAACCGGAGCUAAUACCGGAUAACACCGAAGACCGCAUGGUCUUCGGUUGGAAGGCGGCCUUUGGGCUGUCACUUGCGGAUGGGCCCGCGGCGCAUUAGCUAGUUGGUGAGGUAACGGCUCACCAAGGCGACGAUGCGUAGCCGGCCUGAGAGGGUGACCGGCCACACUGGGACUGAGACACGGCCCAGACUCCUACGGGAGGCAGCAGUAGGGAAUCUUCCGCAAUGGGCGAAAGCCUGACGGAGCGACGCCGCGUGAGCGAAGAAGGCCUUCGGGUCGUAAAGCUCUGUUGUGAGGGACGAAGGAGCGCCGUUCGAAGAGGGCGGCGCGGUGACGGUACCUCACGAGAAAGCCCCGGCUAACUACGUGCCAGCCGCCGCGGUAA
This 517-nucleotide ribosomal RNA is filed under the name uncultured bacterium. RNAcentral describes it as "partial 16S ribosomal RNA". It matches the Rfam family "Bacterial small subunit ribosomal RNA", at positions 28 to 523 of the family's 1533-position model. The record is from RNAcentral.